AUAGCACUUUCACAGGUCCUCCCCCAGGCAGUGGGGCCAGGAUUUGGUAGCUGGUGCUAAGAGAAUAACCCUUGAUUGCAUCCUUGCCCUGGAACUGUGUACCAGUGGCAGCUGUUACUCAGUGGGACAGAC
Molecule: small nucleolar RNA, 132 nt
Filed under: Carlito syrichta (Philippine tarsier)
Lineage: Eukaryota; Metazoa; Chordata; Mammalia; Primates; Tarsiidae
Description: Small nucleolar RNA SNORA30/SNORA37 family (ENSTSYG00000021057.2)
Rfam family: Small nucleolar RNA SNORA30/SNORA37 family
About the family: The members of this family belong to the H/ACA class of snoRNAs that guide the sites of modification of uridines to pseudouridines. This family includes human ACA30 (SNORA30), ACA37 (SNORA37) and the mouse homolog MBI-26.
Source: Rfam by way of RNAcentral